Molecule: ribosomal RNA, 151 nt
Filed under: Elodea canadensis
Lineage: Eukaryota; Viridiplantae; Streptophyta; Magnoliopsida; Alismatales; Hydrocharitaceae
Description: 5.8S ribosomal RNA
Rfam family: 5.8S ribosomal RNA
About the family: 5.8S ribosomal RNA (5.8S rRNA) is a component of the large subunit of the eukaryotic ribosome. It is transcribed by RNA polymerase I as part of the 45S precursor that also contains 18S and 28S rRNA.
Source: RNAcentral
GACUCUCGGCAACGGAUAUCUAGGCUCUCGCAUCGAUGAAGAACGUAGCAAAAUGCGAUACUUGGUGUGAAUUGCAGAAUCCCGUGAACCAUCGAGUCUUUGAACGCAAGUUGCGCUCGGAGCUGAGAGGCCGAGGGCAUGCCUGCCUGGG